GACCAGUCAGGCACAAAGGUGUGUGCGACGCCGGCGAAUGGGCGGCCGGGGGCUGCGUGAUCAGCGGCUGGUGGCUGGCAUGAUGGAGCUCUGGCUGCAGCGUGGAGCCCCCGCCCAGGGAGCUCGAGCUCUGUCAGCGAGGCGACACCGAUUCCCUGCAACAUCCUGCCUUUUCCUUAGUCACGCACUCACACUGACCGCACUCUGCAUGACUCAUCAGUCACGAUGGAGCCGUGAAAGUAACAAACAAUGAGAAUAGAAUUGAGAGGAACACAACAUGGCCUCAAAGAAUAUGCUUUCCUUUCAUUUGGCUGGAAAGUAGGAAGAAAGUGGUACAUAUAUGAAUAGACAAUAAAAGGGGUUGUAAACUAAGUUCAACACUGGUGGUGUGUCGUUUGAAGGACACAGCCGAGAAAAACCUAUGCUGCAGGUGAAAAGAAAGCAACUCUAUCUCUCUCUUUGCUGGAAGCAAGAAACUACGUGAAACCACCGUUGAGAGGAAACAGUACAAAGGCCUUUCUGCCAAUUUGCAGCUAAGAACCUCAAAAUCAACUGCUCACCUAUCAAUAUCAGCAUUACCAGUAACAUUCAACACAAUGGCUGAAAAGUCAUAUUUAGAACACGGAGACUGAUUCAAAUGUCUUUUUUGAACAUUUAUUUUGCUUUGGACUCUAAUUUGUGUGCUGCAUUAUUAUUUUUUCUUGCAUUGAGUAGCUAAUAAUUCAUUAAAUCAGUAGUUCAUUCACUUGUUCAUUAAAUCAAGAAAGCCUGUUUAAAUGAGCUCAGUUUAUAUAAAUAAAUACAUGUUUAUUUUGAUUCUGGGAAAAAAAGAAU
This is a long non-coding RNA of Rhincodon typus (whale shark), 834 nucleotides long. RefSeq lists it as uncharacterized. The record is from RefSeq and is a predicted model, not a curated record. NCBI's taxonomy places the organism in Eukaryota, Metazoa, Chordata, Chondrichthyes, Orectolobiformes, Rhincodontidae. The transcript is spliced from 3 exons.